This 200-nucleotide ribosomal RNA is filed under the name uncultured bacterium. RNAcentral describes it as "partial 16S ribosomal RNA". It matches the Rfam family "Bacterial small subunit ribosomal RNA", at positions 8 to 217 of the family's 1533-position model. The record is from RNAcentral.
AGAGUUUGAUCCUGGCUCAGAUUGAACGCUGGCGGCAUGCCUUACACAUGCAAGUCGAACGGCAGCACGGGUGCUUGCACCUGGUGGCGAGUGGCGAACGGGUGAGUAAUACAUCGGAACAUGUCCAGUAGUGGGGGAUAGCCCGGCGAAAGCCGGAUUAAUACCGCAUACGAUCUUGAUGGAAGAACGGGGGAUCUCGG